RNAcentral lists this long non-coding RNA (272 nucleotides) under Lathyrus oleraceus (garden pea). RNAcentral's name for it is "Pisum sativum (pea) long non-coding RNA (PSAT_LNC024292)". The record is from RNAcentral. Lineage: Eukaryota; Viridiplantae; Streptophyta; Magnoliopsida; Fabales; Fabaceae.
AGAGGCCUAGGGGAGACCAUUUCCAUCCUGGAGGUUGGUGUAGAGUUUCCUUCCUUUUUCAACAGUGUUUGCAAGAUUUCCAUAACCAAGUUCAUCUGAGUCUUCAGUUGACUGAUAUCUUCCUUCAAUGCAGCUUGGCCUUGUUGGAGUUCUUCCACAGUGGCUUGAGACAUGCUUCUAGUUCUAAGCGUACAUCGAGAAAUCAGCUAGUGGGGUAGAAACAGAAGAUGGUAUAAGGUUUUGCUUAUGAGAGGUAAAUGAUGCAUGAAUGC